GGCACGGCCGAGGGGGCUGGGCUGGGCUGGGCAGGCCGACGACGGCAACACCGGGCGCCCGCCC
RNAcentral lists this microRNA precursor (64 nucleotides) under Vicugna pacos (alpaca). RNAcentral describes it as "miRNA (ENSVPAG00000017144.1)". The record is from RNAcentral. Lineage: Eukaryota; Metazoa; Chordata; Mammalia; Artiodactyla; Camelidae.